RNAcentral lists this ribosomal RNA (447 nucleotides) under uncultured bacterium. RNAcentral's name for it is "bacterial SSU rRNA". It matches the Rfam family "Bacterial small subunit ribosomal RNA", at positions 355 to 825 of the family's 1533-position model. The record is from RNAcentral.
UCGGGAAUUUUGGGCAAUGGGCGAAAGCCUGACCCAGCAACGCCGCGUGAAGGAUGAAGUAUUUCGGUAUGUAAACUUCGAAAGAAUAGGAAGAAUAAAUGACGGUACUAUUUAUAAGGUCCGGCUAACUACGUGCCAGCAGCCGCGGUAAUACGUAGGGACCAAGCGUUGUUCGGAUUUACUGGGCGUAAAGGGCGCGUAGGCGGCAAUUCAAGUCAUCUGUGAAAUCUCCGGGCUUAACUCGGAACGGUCAGAUGAUACUGCUUUGCUAGAGUGCAGAAGGGGCAAUCGGAAUUCUUGGUGUAGCGGUGAAAUGCGUAGAUAUCAAGAGGAACACCUGAGGUGAAGACGGGUUGCUGGGCUGACACUGACACUGAGAGACAAAAGCUAGGGGAGCAAAUGGGAUUAGAUACCCCCGUAGUCCCUGAGCGGGCUGGCAAGGCGCAU